RNAcentral lists this unclassified non-coding RNA (423 nucleotides) under fungal sp. RNAcentral describes it as "partial internal transcribed spacer region". The stretch from base 1 to 46 matches the Rfam family "Eukaryotic small subunit ribosomal RNA", at positions 1786 to 1831 of the family's 1831-position model. The record is from RNAcentral. Lineage: Eukaryota; Fungi.
AAGUCGUAACAAGGUUUCCGUAGGUGAACCUGCGGAAGGAUCAUUAACACGUGUCCAAACGUUAAAACCCCCCCCGUGAACAUUGAUUCCUGCUCUUGUAACCCGCGAAGCUUGCAAUCUCUGGUAAAUCAUAGCCCGGAAAGUAGUUUUGAUUCAGAGACCUCUGGCCCGUGCGAAAAUUGGAACAGUUACAAUUCGAGCGGUAGUUCUAUAGGCCUUGUUUCCCCAAGCAGUCAGUGUCUGAAAGUGUCAGUGAUUGUGCAAGGAUAACGCUUCACGAUUCUUGUAGACCGCAUCUCGCGGGCAGGAGCUAGGCCAAAGGGUCCCCAUGCCCCCUUACAACCCCACAGUUAAAUGUGAAGCUCAAUGUAAUACAUUGGGUAAAAAACCGAACAACUGUUAACAAUGGAUAUCUUGGUUCUC